Molecule: long non-coding RNA, 205 nt
Filed under: Elaeis guineensis (African oil palm)
Lineage: Eukaryota; Viridiplantae; Streptophyta; Magnoliopsida; Arecales; Arecaceae
Description: long non-coding RNA (EGUI_LNC015824)
Source: RNAcentral
UAUCAUGAAACAAUCGACUCAUUUGUCCAAUUUUAUUUCUAGUGAAUCAUGAAUACCUUUGAGACAUCUUAAUCCUAAUAAGACAAAAUCCAAAUGAUGUCAGUUGUCAAAUAAUACUAUGUCAAAUAAUACCUUUGAGACAUCUUAAUCCUAAUAAGACAAAAUCCAAAUGUUGUCAAAUAAUACUAUAGACAACACACACACA